RNAcentral lists this unclassified non-coding RNA (345 nucleotides) under uncultured fungus. RNAcentral's name for it is "partial contains 5.8S ribosomal RNA and internal transcribed spacer 2". The stretch from base 1 to 134 matches the Rfam family "5.8S ribosomal RNA", at positions 22 to 154 of the family's 154-position model. Lineage: Eukaryota; Fungi. The record is from RNAcentral.
UGGUUCUGGCAUCGAUGAAGAACGCAGCGAAAUGCGAUAAGUAAUGCGAAUUGCAGAAUUUCCGUGAGUCAUCGAAUCUUUGAACGCACAUUGCGCCCUUUGGUAUUCCGAAGGGCAUGCCUGUUCGAGCGUCAUUAUCCUCCCUCAAACCCUGGUGUUUGGUGUUGGACCGUGUUGGCGGGGGUUGAUCUCCCCCAACUGGUCUCAAAGACAAUGACGGCGUCCGUGGGGCCCUCUUCGCACUGAGCUUCUCGGAGCACGCGUAGAGUUUCAAGGCUCCAGGGGCCCGGUCACCUUUUAAAUUUUCUCUAGGUUGACCUCGGAUCAGGUAGGAAUACCCGCUGA